UCCCUCCAGCUGCCUCCUUUGACAGCAUUAGGAGUCAGCAGAGCUUAAUGAGAUUCUCCGAGUCACUCUGGGAGGCAGCCAGGGUCAUUCUCAUUAGUUAGGAUGCAGCCGUUGCCUGUAUACUUUCGCUUCCUGUUUGGACUCAUGAGUGCAGGGGGUGGGUGUGUGGCUAAGGGGUCCACUGGGUGAGGAAGGGGAGUGAAGGCUAUUUUACUCUCUAUGAGCUCAGGCUUGCCCCGUUAAAUCCGUGGGCCCUCAACUUCCCUGUCUCUGGAACCAGGCUGGGCCUAAGGCAGGGGCACAUGUGGGGAGCAGAGAGCCCGCGAGCUCAGGAGGUGAAGCUCCUGUAGCAGCCUCUGGGCGUGUGCCCAGCCUGGACGCACAUUAACACCCGAUGUCGGCGAUGACCAAGGCCUUUCCUCUCAUACAUAUGCUUUGAGGAUGGUAAUCAUACCAGUCUUGGAGAGCAAUGGCCCGCAGGGACAAAGCUUCGGUGACGGUCCUCAGUGGCCAGUUCUUGCAACCCGGAGGAAGGGCUUCCAGUGAGCGAUACAGGACAAGAAGCAGGAGUUUAUUAGAGAAGGAGUCCAGGCCUCAGGCAUCCUCUGAAGUGGUCUCGGAUAUUGAAAACCGAGCUUAACUCCGAGCCACUGUUCCUUGUUCUUAAGAAGUCAAAGGCAACGCUGCCUCUCAGCUUCUGCAGGAUUGCCUGGAGAAUGGUAAUAAUGAGGACAAUCGUAUUUCUUCAUGGGAUCUUUCUGUGGAGCACAGAAGCUACAAGGAAAAUAUAUCAGAGUUACAGGGAGAGAAGGAAAGAGGAGACCAGAUGCCUGGUUAAAGAGAGAAUGGAAUUCUGGGAAGAACUGAACCUAGGAAUGAUGGUUUUUUGGAAGGAAAACCCUGCCAGACACAUUUGACCCAUUGCUGCAGGAGAAUGAAGUAAAUCUAAGUUGACCUAAAAAGAAAACCUGAUUUGUUCCCUAGGAAGUACCUGUGAGCAGAACACACUCUUUAAUUCCUGCCAUGAGCUGAUUGGCUUCCCUCCACCAUGCCCUUCCACCAUGUUGUUCUUCCUCAUAUUGCGCCCAGAGCUGUGGAGCUGUUCAUCUAUGGACUGAAAUCUCUGCAACUGUGAGCCAAAAGAAGGUUUUGCUUUUGAGAGCUUGUUCUGAGGUGCAAGGCUGGUUAUAAAGAAUUGCAUGAACUGCUAUUAAAUUGAAGACAUUUUGGAUUUUGAAGAUUUCCAUUUUAGUUCUAUCCUUACUGCUUUCUGCAGAUAAACAAAAGAUUAAAUGACACAGACAUUGUGUAUACAUACUGUUAGAAAUACAGAGGUGCCACACGAAAUCAAACACUUGCUCAGAAGUAGUGGGCAAAGCAAACUUUACUUCGGCCAGGAGGGCAUGCUGCCGAACCUGGCUAGCCUCUGGGCAGGUAGUCUACCUGCACACAGGAGAAACAAAAAUUUAUCUUGAGAGAAUGAGUUUACUUCAGUUAUUGAUUGAGUCUCAUAUUCAGAGAUUUGGGGCUGUGGACAGCUUCCUUAGUGACUUGCUGUGGCAAGAUUGGAACCUGCCUUCAGAUAUUUCAACCCUGGACUGCAGACUGGUAAAGCUGCCUUCAAAGUGCCUUUGAACUUCCUCCCCACUUCCUGAGUUCACUCUCUGCUGCCUCCACUCGGAUGCUCUUGGUUGUCUAGAACUAGAAGGGGACAUUGACAGGAAUGUGUCUCGAAUGUGCCAGGUGCUGAUGGAGGGCUUUCCUAAGUGGCAACUUUGUUUCAUGACCAGAACAAAUCCCUGAGAGAGGUACCAUUAUGUUAAUUUGACUGUGAGGAAACUGAUACUCAGGGUGUUAAACUCAGAGUUUUGACAUCACCCUUCAGUGCAGAGAUGAAGUGGAUAUUUAAAGUACCCUUGCUCUUCAAAGGACCUCAAAUGUUUUGUCCACUCAUGCCUGAUCCUUAACUCCAUGAGCAUCAUCGGAGCCUCUAUUAGUGUCUAAGUAUUUUUGCACCUGCUCUGAGAGUCUCCAGGAGGAGGAAGUGGAGGAAAGCAAACAGACACCUAGGAAGAAAGUGCCCUGGGAAGGCCCAGGUAUAUUCCCAAGAAGGGAUUGCCUGAGAGGAGGAAAGACCACCAUCAAUCAAGCACCUCCACACUACUCCUUCCUGCGGUCUGCAGGACGGACAAGCUGUUAAGUCAACACCUUUCAGGGCUGCCAGUGUUCACAGCUCACAGGCAGAGGAUGACAUCCUGCACAUUGACACUGUAUCUUCCCAGACAAUCAUUUUGUGUCUUCAAGUUACUUUUCUUUUAAUAACAAAUUAAAACUGGGUAUUCUUCUCUUUUAGUAAUAUUGGCCACUUUCAUAAUGUUUGAUGACACACAUCAGGGAUUUAAUCUACGUCCUUCUCAGAGCAUGUCAAAUGCAACUAAAUUGUAAUGUUCUCAGAACACUGUGUAUUGGACUUCAAGAUAAAGCAGAUUACAGUAAAUAUUAAUCUUUUCAAAUUGAUAGAAUGAAAUAUUAAACCAUUUCAAACAA
Non-coding RNA from Ictidomys tridecemlineatus (thirteen-lined ground squirrel), 2547 nucleotides. The record is from RefSeq and is a predicted model, not a curated record. Lineage: Eukaryota; Metazoa; Chordata; Mammalia; Rodentia; Sciuridae.